RNAcentral lists this non-coding RNA (89 nucleotides) under Paenibacillus sp. GP183. RNAcentral describes it as "GEMM cis-regulatory element". It matches the Rfam family "c-di-GMP-I riboswitch aptamer". From Rfam's summary of the family: GEMM was predicted in a large-scale screen for bacterial structured RNA regulatory elements. The record is from RNAcentral. Lineage: Bacteria; Bacillati; Bacillota; Bacilli; Caryophanales; Paenibacillaceae.
UCUCGAUAAUGGCAAAACUGGCGAAAGCCAGCGACGCAAAGCUAAAGGGGCUCCGUUCUCCAUCUGGAACGUGCUUGCCAGCUGCCGAA